RNAcentral lists this unclassified non-coding RNA (400 nucleotides) under uncultured fungus. RNAcentral describes it as "sequence contains ITS1". The stretch from base 1 to 106 matches the Rfam family "5.8S ribosomal RNA", at positions 50 to 154 of the family's 154-position model. Lineage: Eukaryota; Fungi. The record is from RNAcentral.
GAAAUGCGAUACGUAGUGCGAAUUGCAGAAUUCAGUGAAUCAUCAAAUUCUUGAACGCAAAUUGCGCUUCCGGGAUAGGCCUGGGAGCACGCUUCUUUGAGUAUCGGUUCACCUCUCAUCGACUGCGUUUUCUUUUUGGAAACACAGUCGGACAGUGAGCGUCACAGUCUCGUGUGCUUGGGAAACCAAGUGCGCUGUGUCGCUUCAAGCUCAGAGCUUGAGCCAAGCCAUCACACAGACCCCCGUCGCUGGGACGGACACUGGGUACACACCCCAUAUUGCCCGUCAUACCAACUGGCGAAGAGGGUUGAGCGGCUUCGGCUCGAAGCAUCGGUUCUGUCUUGGGCGGUUUGUAGCCCUCCAGGACGAACAACAUACAACUGAAAUAGAUCUCAGAUGA